Molecule: long non-coding RNA, 805 nt
Organism: Leptidea sinapis
Lineage: Eukaryota; Metazoa; Arthropoda; Insecta; Lepidoptera; Pieridae
Exons: 3
Source: RefSeq, a predicted model, not a curated record
AAAAAAAAGUUGUAUCUGUAUAAUGCUAUAUGUUAUUACAAUCAAUAUGCGAAAACUUUUAAAUGGUGUUAAAUGUUCACACUAUUGUAUAAAAUACUUCUACUUGGGCAGUUCUGGAGAGAUACAACUUAAGAGAUGAAUCCCUGUUGUUAAUGAUCCUAGAGAUCUAUCUAUAUAAGUUCAGAGAUUAAACUGGCAAAACUAUCUGCACAACAACACCCUCUACAAAAUCCAUAUUGAAAUUGUGGGAUAAUAUCAUUUUGGAUUCAACAUACCAGUCGAGACAAACUUUAAUCAUAGUUUCAAAUAUUUUACCAAGACAAGAUAAGGAUAUUGAUCUGUAAGAACUGGCAAGCUCCGGAGAUUUGUCAGGUUUGAGUAUGGGGAUAACACAUUGAGUUUUCCAUGACUGUGGAAUAGUUUUCUUGAACCAAAGUAGAUUUAGGAUAUUAAGGAAAACAUUCUGAGCAGAUUCAUCUAAAUUUUUAGUAAUAAUGUAAGGAUAAUCAUCGAGAGUUGUGUUUUGUCUAAACUGUAAACUCUUUGUAAAUUCCUUGCAUGUAAAUGAAUUAUGUAAAAAUUUUGAUUUUUCAUCAUUAUUCUUUAAUUUAUAUAAAUAAUCUAAGUCAUUAGUCUCAGUUAAAUCUCUUUUAUCGGAUAAGUUCUCUAGAAAUGGAGAAAUAAACUCAUCUCCAUGUGAUUUAUUGCCUACUCUUUACCUACUAUUACUCUCUACCUUUGAACAUUUUGAUGAGAUUCCAAAUCUGACUUAUUGGUGUAGUUAUAUUAAAAGUGUUACAUAAAU